This 502-nucleotide ribosomal RNA is filed under the name uncultured bacterium. RNAcentral's name for it is "partial 16S ribosomal RNA". It matches the Rfam family "Bacterial small subunit ribosomal RNA", at positions 28 to 507 of the family's 1533-position model. The record is from RNAcentral.
GAUGAAUGCUGGCGGCGUGCCUAACACAUGCAAGUCGAGCGGCAGCGAGUUUUACACUGAAUUCUGGAAGCUUCUGAGUAGUACAGAGGAUUUAUUCAAGAGUUUUGUGUAAAAUGUCGGCGAGCGGCGGACGGCUGAGUAACGCGUAGGAAUUUGCCCCAAAGUGAGGAAUAACUGCCCGAAAGGGUAGCUAAUGCCGCAUAUGGUCUUCGGAUUAAAGCCUUCGGGCGCUUUGGGAGAAGCCUGCGUUGGAUUAGGUAGUUGGUAGGGUAAUGGCCUACCAAGCCGACGAUCCAUAGCUGGUCUGAGAGGAUGAUCAGCCAGACUGGAACUGAGACACGGUCCAGACUCCUACGGGAGGCAGCAGUGAGGAAUCUUCCACAAUGGGCGAAAGCCUGAUGGAGCAACGCCGCGUGAAGGAUGAAGGCCUUCGGGUUGUAAACUUCUUUUAUGAGUGAAGAAUAUGACGGUAACUCAUGAAUAAGCACCGGCUAACUACGUG